RNAcentral lists this long non-coding RNA (1682 nucleotides) under Olea europaea subsp. europaea. The record is from RNAcentral. Lineage: Eukaryota; Viridiplantae; Streptophyta; Magnoliopsida; Lamiales; Oleaceae.
AAACAAUUCACCUAUUUUCAUUUCCCCCCAAAUCUGUAACGCAAGAGAAAGACCCGCCGAUCUUCAUUUCCCCCAACAUUGCAAGCAAGAGGAAACCACCCCUUUCUUCAUCGCCGACAUCUAGACCACUGCCCGGUGCGCACCAUUGGACGUAGCCCAUCGAAACCGAUUAUGGAAAUAGUUUUUGAAGACGGCAGUGCAAUCGUACAUGAUGGACAAAGGUGUUUUCAUUUUUUCCUCAUUUCAUUUCAGCAAUUUAUUGUGGAAAGCUUGCCUCUGUGCCCUUUUCUUAAUAUGCAAAGCUUGCUGCUGCAUCUUUGUUGGGCUAUACCAUUGUAAUAGAUCUUUUUUGUUGAAUAUUAAAGGAUUAUAUGAUGUGCAAGGGUAGUCAAAAGUGUAUAUUAGAUUUAGUUAGGUAUUAUCUAACAUUUGGACACCAGAACAUUUGAUUAGUUAUGGACUCGAGGGGAUUCUCACGAGUGUUAAUUGAACAUCUUAUUUUUAGCAAUUCGGUUUAGGAGUUUCUCAAGUUUAGUUGAAUUUAAAAAUUUGUUUAAAAAAAAUUGUAUGCCUCUUCUUACUAUUAUGAGGAAAAAAAAUAAAGGUAGUAAUAAAAGAUAACAUUGAUUCGAGAAGCUAUUUUACAAAUUACUCUUUUUUUGGGGGAGAGGGGGUGUUCGAUACGUUACGUACCUUAAUUGACAGAAAAUUGGCUAUGUCAUAUUACUAAUUUAACGACCUCAUGUGCCACUAUUUAUUUUUUAUCAUACGCAUGUUAAUUACUGUUAGCAGCAGAGUUGUGUUUUUAAUUACAUGUAAUUUACAAAUUCUAACAAAAUCACAGCAUUUGUUGUAGAAAAAGAGAUUAUAGAAGAUGAGAAUCGUGGUUUCUUGGUAGAUUGUGAUAACGAGGAAAUUGCGGAAAAUUCAAACACAUUGGACAACGAAAAAUUAGGAGAUGUUGUGACGAAGCUUGAGGUGAGUAUGAUGUUUAAUAGUGAAGAAGAAAUGGUAAAGAUUUUUACUCGUGCCUGCAGAUGACUAUGCAUUGAUUGAGAUAUACAAGUUUUCACACGGCGACGUGGUGGUUUUUCGGUAAUUAAAUCUCUUGCUUGGCAUUAAUAUUGUUGGUUCCUUUUUUUAAUCCGGAUUAUUUGGAUUUUGUGCUUUCUUCAGUUUUAAGACAAGCCCAUAUUUACUGGUUUUUGAUCAGAAUUAUGAGACAUGAAUGUUCUUCUUUAUGAUUUGCUGAUUGAAUUUAACUAUGGAAAAUUGUUUUAAGCCCAUCUAGACCUUUAAACUCAAGCAAUCUCCACACUUAACUGGUUUGUCACCGAUAAGCAGGAAUGCAAUCUCAACUAUUUGCAGACAUUGAGUAAAAGGUAGGAUUGAAGUCGUGAAAUAAUUGGUACGUGCAAAACCUAAUGCAGCUCGAGUGAUCGUGGGUCAAGGGUAGACCAUUGAACUUUUGUGAGUGAAGUGCUAUCAAAUUCAGGCCUUCAAGAUCUUAGUGCACAAACUCCUAAAACUGUUGUUACAGGCUAAUUGAUUCAAACACUUUCGUGGUCGAAAUUUGUCUUGUUGGAACUAAAAUCGAGUUUUGUUCACGUGACUUGGCCCUGGGAAAUGUUUAAGAUAUAAAUUUUGAUUUUGACUUCUAAUUUUAAUGCAAAAUAGGCACC